Molecule: ribosomal RNA, 398 nt
Filed under: uncultured bacterium
Lineage: Bacteria
Description: partial 16S ribosomal RNA
Rfam family: Bacterial small subunit ribosomal RNA
Source: RNAcentral
AAUAUUGCACAAUGGAGGAAACCCUGAUGCAGCGACGCCGCGUGACCGAAGCAGGCCCUCGGGUCUUAAAGCUCUGUCCUAAGGGAAGAAACGGACGGUACCUUAGGAGGAAGCCCCGGCUACCUACGUGCCAGCAGCCGCGGUAAUACGUAGGGGGCGAGCGUUAUCCGGAAUUACUGGGCGUAAAGGGUGCGUAGGCGGCCUUUUAAGUCAGAUGUGAAAGGAUACGGCUUAACCGUAGUUAGCAUUUGAAACUAGAAGGCUUGAGUGCAGGAGAGGAGAGGUGAAUUCCUAGUGUAUCGGUGAAAUGCGUAGAUAUUAGGAGGAACACUAGUGGCGAAGGCGACUCUCUGGACUGCAACUGACGCUGAGGCACGAAAGCGUGGGGAGCAAACAGG